This 449-nucleotide ribosomal RNA is filed under the name uncultured bacterium. RNAcentral describes it as "partial 16S ribosomal RNA". It matches the Rfam family "Bacterial small subunit ribosomal RNA", at positions 29 to 523 of the family's 1533-position model. The record is from RNAcentral.
AGCGAACGCUGGCGGCAGGCUUAACACAUGCAAGUCGAACGGGCACUUCGGUGCUAGUGGCAGACGGGUGAGUAACGCGUGGGAACGUGCCUUUCGGUUCGGAAUAAUCCAGGGAAACUUGGACUAAUACCGGAUACGCCCUUCGGGGGGAAGAUUUAUCGCCGAAAGAUCGGCCCGCGUCUGAUUAGCUAGGUGGUGAGGUAAAGGCUCACCAAGGCGACGAUCAGUAGCUGGUCUGAGAGGAUGAUCAGCCACAUUGGGACUGAGACACGGCCCAAACUCCUACGGGAGGCAGCAGUGGGGAAUAUUGGACAAUGGGCGCAAGCCUGAUCCAGCCAUGCCGCGUGAGUGAUGAAGGCCUUAGGGUUGUAAAGCUCUUUUGUCCGGGAAGAUAAUGACUGUACCGGAAGAAUAAGCCCCGGCUAACUUCGUGCCAGCCGCCGCAGUAA